AACUUUUUUAAAUCCCAUUAACAACCACAUACAUAGGUCAAAUAAAUACAAUUGCACACACCCAUAAUUACACAUAUUCAUAUACAAACACACUAAAAACCAUAUACAUACAAUCAAAUACAUAGACUCGAACACAAUUCUUGAAAACUUUGAUUAUUGUUUUUAGAGCCUCGUUAUGCAAUUAGGUAGCUUGGACCUGUAAUUUAACAGCAUUUUGGUAUGAAUAGACGAUCAAUAUAACGAUUAGGAAGAAACUUGAAACUACCAUAAUCUUUUAUUGGAUUUAGGUGACUGGGUAUUUUUUUAAAUCUAAGUUUACUCGAAUGAUUUUACCAUCAUGUUGAAAAGGGCAUUUUCGAUUCGAAUUGCGCAUUAGAGGAAGGUCCAUGGAACCAAAAAGAAAGACAGAUAGAAAAAGAUUUGAAACAUACCACACAUCAGAAUAAAAAAGAAGAUGAAAAUGUUAGGGUUUCUGAUUAAAUUACCUGUGGAUCAUCGCGCCAGUAAAGGAAUCAUCAACAAUAACCUCACAACAAUCUGCACAUUCAAAGGGUAUUUUUUAUAAAUUUGUAAAAUUUGCAGAUAUGAGAGUUGGACCAAAAUCUAAUAUGGUCAAAAUCAGAAGAAAAAAAAUAGUUGAUCAUCUUCUUUUGAAAUUUGUUUUUAAAUCUAAGAAACACAUCCACCAGUACAUCAAUAAUCUACAUUGUCCAUAUGUACCAUAAUGGCUUCCUCUGCUAUCACCGAGCUUCUUCCUAAAUCCAUCCAAGAAUCUACAUUGCCAUUGACAUAUGUGUCUUAGACUAAUCUAAUACAUCUAUGAUGAUUACCUGGGAUUUCAACCUUAUUAUAAAAAAAAUAAGCAUCCGUGAUGGGUUACAAGUUAAAAGAAGACCCACAAAACAAUAAUCGAGAAAAAUCGCAACAACUAUUAAAAUGAAGUUAUGUUUUCAAAUAGAAUUUGCAAGAAAAACAAUCAGGCACAUAAAAUGAAUAAAAAUAUCAAAUAGAAAAAUUACAAGCAUUUAGCCUUGUACAUUAAGAAAAAGCAAGUUUGAUAUUUAACCUGAAAUUGGAUGAAGGAAACGGGCCCUCAAUUCUUCUUUUGGUCCUUGUGUCAUCGAGCACCUUGCUCCUGUCAAUAGUCGAUCCUGAUUAAUCUUCAUCACGAUAAUAAGGAAGAAGGUUAGGGGAGAAGAACAAAUGUAAUAGGAAUCCAUCAUGUUAAUUUCAAAAAUGGUUGCAAUGGUGAAGUUGAAUCACGCUAAAAC
This 1271-nucleotide long non-coding RNA is filed under the name Lactuca sativa (garden lettuce). RNAcentral's name for it is "long non-coding RNA (LSAT_LNC009256)". The record is from RNAcentral. Lineage: Eukaryota; Viridiplantae; Streptophyta; Magnoliopsida; Asterales; Asteraceae.